AGCUCCUCAGUGUCUUAAGAUUCUUUUAAUAGCUCCGGGUUAUCUGCAAGAUAAAUUCAUACUUGUCUUUGUUUUAUUUGGAUCUUAACACAUUUUGGAAGUAUCUUUCUUGGAUUUUGGAAGAGUAGUUGUGAAACUCACAUUAGUUAAGAAUUCUGGAAGCUUCUGUUCCACAGUUGGAUUUGCUGUCUUCUUUCCUGGUGGUAUUAGUCCCACAGAAGCAGCAAGAAGCCUUUCUCUCUAUGAAGUAAUGACAGAUGACGACCAGCAAAGAAUGGUAAGGCAUACCAACAGCAUGCAGUGUCACUAGCAAAGACCAGUAUCAGCAAAGCAAAGACCAGCAAAGCAUGGAGGGCAUGUGCUCAUCUUCAUAUGGGUUUGUGGACGUGAACAUGAUGGCUUUAGAGACCACAACAAGGCAACAGAAUCUCAGAUCAUGACAUUUGUGAGCCACCGGAGUUCAGUGCUGGGAAUCAAGGACCCCAGACCUUGAAAGAAUAAUAUGCUUUCUUCAUAACUAAGCCAUUUCUCUAGUCCUUUCCUAACACUGUAAUGCUGCAAUGGAGUUUAAUAAAAAU
Rattus norvegicus (Norway rat) is the source of this 578-nucleotide long non-coding RNA. Ensembl lists it as uncharacterized. NCBI's taxonomy places the organism in Eukaryota, Metazoa, Chordata, Mammalia, Rodentia, Muridae. The record is from Ensembl.